This 2391-nucleotide long non-coding RNA is filed under the name Heterocephalus glaber (naked mole-rat). RNAcentral's name for it is "lncRNA (ENSHGLG00100033341.1)". Lineage: Eukaryota; Metazoa; Chordata; Mammalia; Rodentia; Bathyergidae. The record is from RNAcentral.
GGGAAACCCACCUUUGCAGACGACCGUGAGCGCCGCGGUGCACACGGCCACCGCCACCGCCGCCACCAGGGCCAGCACCUGGGCCAGGGUGAGGCUGCCGUAGGCCUGGUCCGGGCCUGGAGGGGGUGGGGGUCAGCAAGGGCCGCAGUCCGGCCCCAUUCGGAGCGCGGUCGGUCGGGAGCUUUCCCGGCCCCGGCGGCUGCGGAACUCGCAGGUCAGGCCUACGCCUCGGCUCAGCUCGGCUCGGCUCGGGCUCGGCUCGGUUCGAUUCGGCUCGGCUCAGCUAGGCCUCGGCUCGGGCUGGGGACCCCGGGCGCAUGCGUAUGCUCACCGACGCCGCGCGCCGGGCUCCAGUCGCUCCACACCGCCCCGCGCACGUGGCGUACGCGCACGCGCACCGAGCCCCCCGCCACCAGCGCAUGCGCGUUCCGCUCCCGGCCCCGCUGGAAAACCUGCGCGGAGGACUUAGCUCCCAGCACCCGGCGUGCAACCCGAGCGCUGGGUGCCGGCACGGGCUGCCCCCCGCUGCGUUUCUGGUCCCUGCACCUGCGGGGACCUUCAGCCCCAACCCCACCUCCCGCAGACGCCCGGGAACGGGAGCCGGGACAGGAGCGGCCCGGGCCAGCUGGGUGCUCGGUCCCGGGGUGACCCAGCGAUUGAUCGCAGGGCCGGGUGCGCCCCAGCGCGCAGGACUCGGGCUGGGAACCCCAAGAGCCACAGGAAAGUCUCCUCAUGAGAAGGAGCCGGGUGCGGAGGCGCGCGCCUGGGACCCAGCUCCCCGGGAGGCUGAGGCAGGAGGGGCUCCGGGAGCCGAGCGAGGACCCCCAGGGCGGCAGCCGGGCGGGGCGCGGGCACUCACGGGCGGUGCCUCGGCCUCGGCGCCCUGUGGGAGGGAGACGGAGCGGUGGCGGGCGGGCCAUGCAGUCGCCUCCUCGCUGCCCCCGGCAGUGGCCGCAGCCGGAGAGAGCUCGAGAUCGCCCGCCUGCGCCUCCGCCUCCGCCUCCGCCUCCGCCUCCCGGCCGCCGUACCCGCCUGCGGACGUCCAGCUCGCAGUACAGGGUGCUCGGGCUCUGCUCGAACCUCCGCGCCGGGUUGUCCCAGCCAGCACACGACGAGGCCCGGGCCCGCGGGGCCGACCGAGCCGUUGGCGGGAGGGCUCUACUUCUCUGUCCCCCGCACAAACCGGAACACGAACAGGCGGAAGCGGCCGCGGCCGCGGAGACGGAAAUGACCCAGCUCCCAGGACCCCCGGCCCCAGGCUGGCUUCCUCGGCCGUUCCGAGGCAGAAUCUCGCUCGCUGUGCAGCCCACCCGGGCCUUGAGCUCACGACGUGGCCCAGGCUGGCUUCCAAUUCGGGGAGAUCCUUCUGCCUCAGCCUCGCGAGUGCUGGGAUCACAGGCGUGCCCACCGCGCCCGGCUGAUCUUCCUGCCCCUCGUGGGACCCCAGGGAGACCGGUGGCCUCUCCUCCUGUCCCCGUGGGGAUUUUCCACCGCACACUGCCCCGGGGCGGAAGCAGGAGAGGCUGAAGCAGGCAGCGAUGGUCUCACCGAUCAGAAAGGCCACAAAGGGCGGCGCGUCCAGGAACGGGAUGGUCGCCUCGCCGCUGGUGCCGUGGACCAGGAAGAAGGAAUUACCCAACGUCUUGGGCUCCCGGCCGAGCUGGGUGAAAUGGCAGCCCACGCGCAGCCCCUUUGAGUCCAGGGAGUAGUGGAGGCAUUCGGCCUCGGCGUCGUUCCUGGAGGGCCCAGAGGGCCGCGCAGAGUCAGAGAAAACCAGAGAGGGUUUGGGGCGCGGGCCCUGAACCCGAAAACAGCCCCUUGCAAGGCUGGGGUGCUUGGCUGUAAGAAGAGCAGCCCAGUUUUGUUUACUUCCGCCCAGCUUGCUGCUGUUGACAGGGCACAGAACCAGGCUUUCGGGGCGCGCCCGUCAUCCCAGCACUCGGGAGGCCGAGGCAGGACGACUUCCAGCCUUGCCUGGGCCACCGAGUGACUCGGCGAGACCCUGUCCGCCAAUAAAAACACCAACAGGCCGGGGCUGGAGCUCGGCCGGCAGCUGUGAGUUCCAGGAGCACAUUUUUAAAAAAGAAAGGAAAGGAGAAAAAGGACCCGAGAUGGCAGCCCCCUGUCCACCCCACUUGUCCGGCCUGGGCCACCCCAUCCCGCCCCACGGUGCCCACUCACGGGUCGAACCAGAACAGCUGGUAGACGGUGUCCACGGGGGCUGUUUGGCCCGGCGCCCAGCUGCAGUUCAUGGCGUGCACGUCAUAGAUGAUGCAGGACAGGUUGGCGGCGCCGGCCCCGGGGCCUGCCUGGGAUGCAGCGACCAGGGCCUCAGCGGCGCGGCACGGGGCCAGAUCCUGGCCCCUGGCCCCCCGGGCCCCAUGUCACCUG